GGGGCCUGCCGGGAACUGGAGUGCGCCCCGCGGCCUUUUGCGCAGGCGCCGAAGCCACACCGCGAAGUACCGUUUUUUCAGGCACAAGGAAGGUUUCACCCCGUUGCCGAAAGACUAAGCGUCCCGUUGGCCAGUGCAACGAAGAACGGAGGAAGCGACGCAGUGGCCUUGUGUGGGCCUUCAGCUUCCAGUUCCAUGGCCUGGUGGAGGACCCUGUGGUGCAAGCCUUCCUCCAGACCCCCCUGGCCUGGGGCCCAAGACUGGGAAGCCUUUGAAGAUUUCAGUUUGUAAGUAGUGAGAGCAAUGAUCUUGGCUUUGCAUGGUGCUCAGGAAGCCUUCCCCGCUCCCAAACCAGAAAGGAAUCCAUCCAGAUUUUCCUCCACUGUCUGGAUGGCCGCUCUGUGGAUGCUUCCAUCUGUAUCCAUUGCCGGCACCUGGUGAGGGAUAUUGCUCAGCCAAAGGGCCAGCAUCCCAGUGAAGAAGAUCAGAAAGAGGCUUCCGAUUCCGUCUCUAGAGCCUUUGAGGUCACUCCUGACGCUGACAUGGCUGUGAAGAGCUGGGUGCCAGGCAUUACUGCCUCCAAGGUUGCUUUGCGAGGAAUAGGUGGGGCAUCAGGAAGAAGCCAGUUGCAGGCAAGGCCUCUGCUGAUGCUGCUUUUUUCUCCUGUACCCAUCCAUGGGAGGGAGCUGUGAGAUGGCCUGGCAGAACCCGCUCUUGGACCCCACAGAAUGAGAGGCUCACCCUGCACAGGAACAUCCUGGGGCAGCAGGCUCAGCACAUUUUAAAUUUUGAGUAUGAACAAAGUAAACUUCAGGGUU
Molecule: long non-coding RNA, 818 nt
Filed under: Homo sapiens (human)
Lineage: Eukaryota; Metazoa; Chordata; Mammalia; Primates; Hominidae
Description: SRRM2 antisense RNA 1
Source: RNAcentral